RNAcentral lists this unclassified non-coding RNA (336 nucleotides) under soil metagenome. Its description in RNAcentral is "partial contains 5.8S ribosomal RNA, internal transcribed spacer 2, and large subunit ribosomal RNA". The stretch from base 1 to 120 matches the Rfam family "5.8S ribosomal RNA", at positions 35 to 154 of the family's 154-position model. The record is from RNAcentral.
GAUGAAGAACGCAGCGAAAUGCGAUAAGUAGUGUGAAUUGCAGAAUUCAGUGAAUCAUCGAAUCUUUGAACGCACAUUGCGCCCCUUGGUAUUCCAUGGGGCAUGCCUGUUCGAGCGUCAUUUGUACCUUCAAGCUUUGCUUGGUGUUGGGUGUUUGUCUCGCCUUUGCGUGUAGACUCGCCUUAAAAUAAUUGGCAGCCGGCGUAUUGAUUUCGGAGCGCAGUACAUCUCGCGCUUUGCACUCAUAACGACAGCGUCCAAAAGUACAUUUUACACUCUUGACCUCGGAUCAGGUAGGGAUACCCCCUGAACUUAAGCAUAUCAAUAAGCGGAGGA